GACGAACGCUGGCGGCGUGCCUAAUACAUGCAAGUCGAACGCAGUGGGGACGGGUGAGUAACACGUGGGUAACCUCCCCUCAGAGGAGAUAACACUUGAAAACAGGUGCUAAACCGAUACUGAUGGAUGGACCCGCGGUGCAUUAGCUAGUUGGUGAGGUAACGGCUCACCAAGGCCACGAUGCAUAGCCAACCUGGGAGGGUGAUCGGCAACACUGGGACUGAGACACGGCCCAGACUCAGACGGGAGGCAGCAGUAGGGAAUAUUCGGCAAUGGACGAAAGUCUGACCGAGCAACGCCGAGUGAGUGAAGAAGGUUUUCGGAUCGUGAAACUCUGUUGUUAGAGAAGCGGUAUCUAGCCAGAAAGCCAGGGCUAACUACGUGCGAGCAGCCGCGGUAGUUC
RNAcentral lists this ribosomal RNA (403 nucleotides) under uncultured bacterium. Its description in RNAcentral is "partial 16S ribosomal RNA". It matches the Rfam family "Bacterial small subunit ribosomal RNA", at positions 28 to 526 of the family's 1533-position model. The record is from RNAcentral.